This 206-nucleotide long non-coding RNA is filed under the name Vigna radiata. RNAcentral's name for it is "long non-coding RNA (VRAD_LNC011235)". Lineage: Eukaryota; Viridiplantae; Streptophyta; Magnoliopsida; Fabales; Fabaceae. The record is from RNAcentral.
GGCGCUCUGUUUGCUUUGAUAGUCUUGACAACCCAUAACCUAUUCUGAAAUUUCAUUGGUGUGCCGGGUUUGGGUUUGUCACUUUUCACAUCAGGGUGUUGGUGAACCAAUUCUCCCUCCUUAUCUGCCUCCUGAUGAUCUUGUUCUCCUAGUACAAAUUUUAUCCUGCACAUACUAAAGAACACUGCACUAGAGCACAUAAUUAG